This is a non-coding RNA of Pseudoalteromonas citrea DSM 8771, 46 nucleotides long. NCBI's taxonomy places the organism in Bacteria, Pseudomonadati, Pseudomonadota, Gammaproteobacteria, Alteromonadales, Pseudoalteromonadaceae. The record is from Rfam.
AAAACGGCUUUUUUUGAAGCCAGCUACAGAAUAAAAGAUAGUUUAG